This is an RNA transcript of Panicum virgatum (switchgrass), 1945 nucleotides long. It is a transcript of the gene named solute carrier family 35 member F2-like, with no coding region annotated. Lineage: Eukaryota; Viridiplantae; Streptophyta; Magnoliopsida; Poales; Poaceae. The transcript is spliced from 8 exons. The record is from RefSeq and is a predicted model, not a curated record.
AAAGAUGUUAGGUGGCCUUUAAAGCAGUACGACGUAUUCUCUCGUGCCUUCGUUCUAACAGGGAGCUCGCUUGUUUUGUUUUGCUCUGAGGGCAGGAGUUCCUGAGUUGGAGGCCACUGUAAACAGGCUCAUGGAGGUCAAGAGGGAUACAUGGAGGUUGCUGUUCUCGCUCUUCCUCGGACAGAUAGUCUCCUUCUCCAUGGCCAUCAGCAGCUUUACCACCUCUGUCAUCAGCAGUCUCGGAGUUGACGCACCACUGGCACAAUCAUUCCUGGUAUACAUGUUGUUAGCUCUGGUUUACGGAACGAUUCUUCUGCACCGACGACAAAAACUGCUUAUACCAUGGUAUUGGUACCUAACCCUUGUCUUCAUCGAUGUUCCGGGAAACUUUCUUGGUGAGUAGGCUGAAAAGGAAACAGUUUGAACUUUGAAUCACCAAUUGGCAGUAGGCAAUAGCUCCAGGUGAAACAAGAAAAGUAGUGCUGCACAUUAUCCGAACAUGCCAUCAUUGUGAGCAUGUGUUGCAGCUAUCAGGGCAUACCAGUACUCAUACAUCACCAGCAUAAACUUGUUGGACUGUUGGACUAUUCCAUGGGUCAUGAUCCUCACCAGGUUUGCACUAGGCACAAGAUACUCUUUUUGGCAAUUUGUAGGAGCAGGCACUUGCAUGGCAGGACUCUCCCUAGUACUCCUCUCAGAUUCAAAUUCGCCAGAUGUUCAAGAUGCAAGUAAAAGACCACUUCUCGGAGAUGUCCUUAUCAUUGCUGCCACAUUUUGUUUUGCGUUUAGCAAUGUCGGGGAGGAAUACUGUGUCAAGAAGAAAGACCGAAUUGAAUUCAUUGCAAUGCUUGGAAUCUUUGGGGUGCUUGUCACAGGAAUUCAGAUGUAUCCUGUCCAUCAUAUCAGUACUGAACUAGCAUGAUUCAUUGACCAUCCUAACUGUUGACUUUUUUUUUUUAAGAAACCAUUCUAUCCAUUUUGGGGGUGAAAAAUCACUACAUGUUCAUGAAGUAAAGUUUAAUGUUACCCUAUUAACUAGCAUAAACCACAGAUCUCUUUUUGAGAGGAAGAACCUAGAGACAAUCAACUGGUCUCCAAAAAUGGUGAGAAAACUAAAUCCUUCGACCUACCAAACUGUUUAAUGUUCCAUAGACCUUUUUUGAUCUAUCAGUAAGAAGACUCACGCCUUCAUUUUGACAUUGUUCCAGAUAAGUCUUUUCACAGGAUUUGCUAUAGCAGCUUUUGUGUUCUCAACCAUUAGUUCUUUUGUUCUUAAGGUUAACCUUCUCGAGCCAGUUCAGAUCUACUCCAUAGAUAUUUUCACUCAAUGUAACUCAUCACCAAGUAAUAGUUCAGACGGCUCUUUCAUGGCCAUUUAGCAGCGUAGUAGCACUUAGCUUUCUGUCAAACUUCGCAGAUGAGUGGAUCAACUAUGUUUAACCUCUCACUCUUAACAACUGACAUAUGGGCGGUCGCCAUUCGGUAUUUCUUCUAUCAUCAGCAGGUAAAUUGGCUCUACUACUUAGCAUUUGCAGUUGUAGCCAUGGGACUGAUCAUCUACUUGCGGAAUGAGAGUUCUUCAGAUGACGAGACAGCUCCAAGUACAACAGAAACAACUCAGUAUGAACAACUUUCAAGUGAGGAGUCGGGUGGUGCCAAUCUUGACUGGCAGAACAGAAAACAUCAGGAAGAUGAUCACACCUGUUAGGCACCUCAAGUAACCUCAAGGCAAUGGGAUAUAUCUUGUAUAAGACUAGACCUGAUAAGGGGUCAAGUAACCUCCUGGGAAUAGACAGAAAUUGUGUUAACUAAAUCAGAUACCAUAUUAGAAUAUAUGUGGAGGGUAUGCAAACUAGAAGGUUCCAGUUUUCAUUUUGUUCUAAUUUUCUAAUUGUUGUGUAACAAAAAAUGUCGAAGAAUAUGACGAAGGUUGCAUUUUUUGACA